GCGGUUUUUGAGGAUGUCUUUUGUCCGCUUUCAAAUGCCCUCCAACAUCUAGCUUUAUCUUCGGCUCAUCUUGGAGAGGAAACAAAAACUAGUC
This is a non-coding RNA of 94 nucleotides. It matches the Rfam family "Ascomycota telomerase RNA", at positions 1285 to 1381 of the family's 1858-position model. The record is from Rfam.